RNAcentral lists this long non-coding RNA (30959 nucleotides) under Oryza sativa (Asian cultivated rice). RNAcentral describes it as "long non-coding RNA (OSAT_LNC000714)". Lineage: Eukaryota; Viridiplantae; Streptophyta; Magnoliopsida; Poales; Poaceae. The record is from RNAcentral.
GUGAACCCUCACGAACCUGCCUUAACCCAAGGCCUACGAUGAUUCAGACCGAACUGGCAACCCGACCCUGGGUCCCAGCUCGUCCCAAGCCAACCCAGGCCAACCAUUCCACAUUUUAGUUGUUAAGCAAAUUUUAAGAUUUAAAACACUAACUUGGGUACAUUGCUUGGCUUGCCCAUAACCGAGGGCGCGGCUAUUCGAAUAGAUUAUACUCUGAUCAGAGGUGUACAUCUUUACCCACAAGACACAUCUUCCUCACGUGUAACCACGUGCCACAUACCACCAUGGUAUACGGACGGAAGACGUGACAUAGUUUCCAACCCAUCCUAGCCAUAGACAAGAGUACCGACCCAACCCCACCUACGGCCGGAACCUCCGGGACAGGUAGGCAGGAUUGAGCCCCUAGCAGCAGGACACCAGCCCUGUGCCAUGACAUCUCGACUACCGGGCCGCAGCUCGUGUAGCCUUCAUUUGUCCUAGAGAUGUCCAUCGACCCCCGACUUCGUCCAUCUCCAUCCGUGUACUUUUGUUUAUAACCAGACUGAGCCACAAACUAAGCCUUACCCACUAGACAUGUGGAAGUACGGUAGUGCUUUGCAACAGAGGCCCGAGCUUAAUCCUUAUAGUGGCCGGGGUGCUACUUCCCACAACUAGCAUGCACCCAAACCCCACCGAAAAACAGGUUUUAGGGGCUUUGAAAGAGGAAGAGAGGGGUAUGUCCAAUUCCACCAUAAUCCAACAAUUCCAUAAUGUCCAAAUGAUAUGAGAAUUCCCAAAGUCUAAAGUUAUAAAACCACCUAAUGUUGCCUAAUUAAUCAGCGAAGCAUCUACCUAAAUUCAUACUAGUGGAACCAUGAAUAGAGUACCCACUAGUUGGGGUUUUAUUUUCCUAGGGUGAACAAGAUAAUAAUAACAAUAGCAAUAAUAAGGUCAUAACAAAGGUAAAUAGGCAUGGCUAGAUAAAACAGUGAUAACGCGGGAAUUUAAAUAAAGCGAUAAUGCAAUAAUUUAAAUCAAAAUAAUUUUAUAAACUAGGAUUCAAUAUGUUCAAGGAUGAUGUGACUUGCCUUGCUCAGAGAGAACGGCCUUCCGAACCUUCGGCGACGACCACGAACCACGCUUCGGGAACCUCCGGAACGACGAAAGCUACGCGAAGCACACAAGCAAAGCUACAAGCCUAUAAAGAAGCAAUAACAACACAUAAAAAGAAAGCACACAGUUCUUUAGGUUAUAACAAACAUUAGGAGACUUGAACGGGUCGAUUCAGAGUUCGUAUGACCAAAAUAUGAUCAUCCGAAGUUUAAUGCUGUUAUAUGGAGAUUUGCGGAUUAUUAUAAUUAAGCUUUGCAAUUAUAAAACAUGUGUAAGUGCUAGCCUAGAAAAGACAGGAGGGCUGCGCCGUUGACAUACGGACCCCACAUGUCAACCUAAAGGACCGCGGUAGACCGAGUACACAGAGACGGUCCACGGGUCGACGGAAGCAGAUCCCGUGUGUCAACCGAGGCGAGUGGCCGACAAACGGACUCCACUAGACACCACACGGGCUGCACACGUAGAAACCACGCGGCUACCGAGCGGGCACACUAACACGGUCACCACACGCACAAGCGAACGACUACCGACACCGGUACACGGGUACCGGGGUCGACAACCGCACAACGAGCACGGGCGACACCGAAAGGACGAAGACGGGGCAGCGAGGGAGAGGGAUCCUUACCACCACGCGACGAGGCGUGGGAACGACAACGACGACCGGGCGCGGCGGAGGCGGCCGGGAACGACGGAGACGAACGGCGAGGGGACGACUUCGGCGGCGAUCCUUGGACGAAGGCGAGACGCGGCCGGCACGAGGCUUGACGACGCGGAGGCGUGGACGAAGACGAUGACGGGGGCUGCAGCGACCUUGACGAAACACCGAGGACGGACGAGAACGGCUCGACGGAGGGACGAACGCCCCGACGACCGGGAACGACGAGAGGACGACGAUGACGACCGGGGCCGGCGAGGAGACGACGAGGGCAGCCGGCAGUGGCUGCACGGAGGCGAGGAUGCCGUGGAACGCGCCGCUGCGAUGCCGACGACGGAGGCGGCGCCGCGAGACGACGAGCCGGCGAGGAUGAACGGUGAAGACGACGUCGGACACCGGCGGUGUUCGGCCGAAGGGGAAGCGAUGCCGAGGGGUGGACGAGGUGGAGGGCUACGUCACCGUGCCGAGGGAGGGGACGGCAGCACCGACUGACGCACGGGCAUGGCGAAAGGGGCUGCCGGAGGAGAUGCCGACGAGGAGGAAGGAGAGGCCGGCGCGGGCGACGGCGUUCCGGCGAAAUUCGGGCGAGGAGGAGGUGAUGCCGGGGAAGGAGGCGAUGCCGCGGUGUCGAAGGAGGAGACGGCGGCGUCGAUCGGCGCACCGGCGACGAACAGCAGCCGGCUGGAGGGAGUACAGUGGCACCAAUGCCACUGGUUGCCGGCGGGGGCACCGUUCCGGCGAGUUUCCGGCGAGGAGACGGUGAGGCCGGUGAAGGGGACGGUGUUGCAGAGCCGAGGGAGGCGACGGCACGGCCGGACGGCGCGCGGGCGAGGCGGGAGAGGCGGCUGGAGGCGGCCGGCGGCACGGGAGAGAGAAGAGGAUGGCGGGGAGAUGGCUAGGGACCACGGGAGACCGCGGGAGGGGGCUAAAACGAUAAAACGGAGCGAGGGGAUUCUGUUUUAUAGGCGCUGGGAGGGAGCCGGCCACGGGAGGAGCGAGGAACGGCGGCGGAAAACUCGGCCGGCGGCCAUGGGAGGCUGCCGAGGAAGGCGCGGGCAUUCCCGACGAUUGGGGGCGUCAUUCAAGGGGGAAUUAAGGGGGAAAGAGAGUGAGGAGGGAAAGGGGAUUAAUUCCCCCUAAUCAAUUUGGAAAGAGCCGGCUUGAAUCGUGUGGAUUUAAGGGAGGAAUCGACGCUAGGUUUCACGGGAGAGAAGAGAGAGAGAGGAUGCCGGGCGGGAGGAAGGAGACGAUCGGGCGGGUGGGACCCACCGGUCAGGCGGCGUCGUCAGCGCGCGCACGCGCGCGGCACGGGCGGGAGGGCGCCGUUCGGCUUGGGCCGGGCGGCGGCCCAGGUGGGAGGGGGCAGGGAGGCUUGGGCCGAGAGGCGGCCCAGGAGGAGAGGAGGGCGAGGAGGCCCGGGAGAGAGAUGGGAGGGGAGGGAGCUGGGCCGGGAGGGGGAGGGAAGGCCCAAGAGAGAAGGAGAGGGAGAGGAAUAGAGGGAGGAAGAGAGGACUUCGGCCGCGGACCGAGAGAGAGAGAGGGAGGACUUUGGGCCAAAAUUGGCCCAAAAGAAAAGGAGGAUUAUUUUUAGGUCUUCUUUUUAAUAAACUUUGAUAAUUGUUUUUGUUGCUUAAUAAUUAUUUCCGGUGCUCUGAAAAUUCAAGUAAAAUUUGAGGGCUCCUUUUAGACCAAGGAGAAUUUAACAAAAAUUCUCCGGGCCACAUUCGAAUUUUUUUUUCUUGUACGUAUUUUAGUGUUUGCCAAUUUCUUUUCGAAUUUUAAUUAAUUCUAUUAUUCCUUUUAGCGAAUGAUUUUUAAUUCGGGAUGAAUUUAUCAGGACGUGACACGAACCAUGACAAGCCAUCCGAUAGGACCAUAAUGCUUCGGCCAAUCUAGUAUGCCAUUGCCGAGGAUAUUCGGAAAUCUUCCUCUUAAUCAGUUUAAUCGAACACUUGUUAGAUGCCUCGGCUUGCCCAUUAGCUUGUGCAUAAUAAGGCGAAAAAUUCAACAAUUUAAUACCCCUAUCGGCAAACUGAACAAACUCAUCAGACACAAAAAUCGAGCCUUGAUCAGUUGUAAUGGUCUAAGGAAUACCAAAUCGAUAAAUAAUAUGCUCUUUCUUUGAAGGAAUCGCCUCUACCCACUUGGUAAAGUAAUCGGUUGCCACCAAUAUAAACUUGUGUCCUUUGCUCGAUGGUGGAUUAAUCAUACCGAUCAUAUCAAUUCCCCAACCUCUAAAUGGCGAUGGCUUGAUGAUAGGAUUCAUAGCCGAUGCUGGCGCUCUUUGAAUUGAUCCAAACUUUUGAUAAUCUUGACAUCCUUUAUAAUAUUUGAAACAAUCUUCUAACAUGAUAUGGGGUUGAGUUGGUUAGUGCCUUGAAGAUAAGAAUGAUUUGUUCAAGAGAUCAUGAGUUCAAGGAUUGGCAAAAACAAGGGAAAAUAUUUUAUUCUCCUUUUCACAUUGGUUUUAUAUGGUUGUGGUACAAUUUAAUGUCUCUAGAAAAUGCCUCUACCACCUUAUAAACAUUUUAUAAAAUGCCUCUUCGUUUGUAGAGACAAUUCACCAUAAGGCACUAAUUAGACAUUUUUUAAAAUGCCUCUACAGUAUUGUAAAGGCAUUAGAAAAGUGUCUCUAUAGUACUAGAAAAAUGUCUCUACAAAGCAUUUUUCUUGUAGUGCUUGUCUCUGCAUCCAAAAGCCGACAGCUCAGGUAAAACACAACUCUCUCUUUUCCUUCAAGUGCCUGAAUCAAAACCGAGCCGAUUGACUUCUCACCAGCCGACAAAUAUAAUCUAAAAGGUAUCCCUUUUUGCGGAGGGAUCAAAACUGGAGGAGAACUAAGAUAUUCUUUAAUACUAUCCAAAGCCUUCUGCUGCUCUGCCCUCCAAGUAAAUUUUUGAUCGGCUUUCAAUCUCAACAAUGGUGUAAAAGGUUCUAAUCUACCAGACAAAUUAGAGAUAAACCUUCUAACAAAAUUUAUUUUGCCGAUCAUCUCCUGCAAUUCUAUCUUGUUCUCCGGAGGUUGAAUCUUCUUGAUCGCAUUAACACUCCUCUGAGUUAUCUCAAAUCCCCUUUCAUGAACAAGAAAUCCUAAAAACUAACCAGCCGAUACACCAAAAGCACACUUUGUUGGAUUCAUCUUUAGGCCAUACUUCCUAGUUCACUCAAAAACCUUCCUCAAAUCGGCUAUGUGGUCUUCUAUUUCCUUUGACUUAACAACCACAUCAUCAAUAUAAACUUCAACCAAGCAGCCGAUUAGAACAUGGUAUAUAUAGUUCAUAGCCCGUUGAUAUGUAGCUCCAGCACUUUUCAAGCCAAAAGUCAUCACGACCCACUCAAACAAGCCGAUUGCACCAGGACAUCUAAAAGUUGUCUUAUGAAUGUCCUCCUCUUCCAUAAAGAUCUGAUUGUAACCAUCGUUACCAUCCAUAAAACUCAAUAUCUUAUGUCCUGAGGCAGCAUCGACCAACUGAUCGGCAACCGGCAUUGGGUGCUCAUCCUUUGGAGUAGCCUUGUUUAGGUCUUGGAAAUCAAUACACACCCUGACUUUGCCAUUUUUCUUAAUAACUGGAACUAUGUUGGAAACCAACUCAGCAUAUCGGCAUGGACGAAUAAAACUAGCAUCAUAUAAACAUUUAACCUUAGCCUUGACAGGUUUGAGCAUAUCGGCUUUCGCAUCUCCUCGGCGGCUGAUGGUAUGGUCUAACCCCCGGCUUGAUAGGGAGCCGAUGUUCAACAAUCGAUCGACUGAGUCCUGGCAUCUCGUAAUGUUCCCAAGCAAAGCAAUCUCUGUAUUCUUUCAAGAGCUCUAUCAACUUGAUUCUGAAUUCCAGAGAUAAAUUCCUACUAAUAAAUGUUGGCCUUGGCCUAUCACAUGGACCUAUAUCAACUUCUUCCAAAUCAUCAGCCAACAUGAAACCCUGUCCUUGCUUGUCAUCGAGAUCGUCUACUGUGUCCUUUGUGUAGACGUUUGAACCCUCCACGAUGCCCUCAAAGUAAUAAUUUGGGUUCUCCGUCUUCAAUUGGUUGUAUAUCACAAUCGGACACUUUUAGAAUAUCUCUAUCCCAAACUUUUCCUGACAAGCAAUCAAUACCGUCCAUCUCCCAAAGAGCUAAAUCGACACUGGCAACGUUAACUGACCUGUCGGCUGGCACAAUUUCAAUCUUGUCGCCUUGCCAUUGAAUCAAGCAUUGAUGCAUGGUCGAAGGAAUACAACAAUUGGCAUGAAUCCAAUCCCUUCCAAGCAACAAACUAUAGGAACCCUUCCCAUCGAUGACAAAAAAUGUUGUAGGGACGGUCUUGCCGCUGACUGUCAGCUCCACAUUCAAAACUCCUUUUUUUCCCGAUGGAUUGCCACCAAAAUCUUUGAGAACCAUGUUUGUCUUGAUGAGAUCUUCAGUAUUUCUGCCCAGCUUCCUGAAUGUAACAUAUGGCAUCAAAUUCACCGCAGCCCCACCAUCAACCAUCAUCUUGGUCAUCAGCUUCCCAUUGACAUAGCUGUUUAUAUACAAUAGGUUAAGGAGCCAAUUCUCUGUCCCUUCUGGCUUCUCAAAGAUUGCUUGCUCUGGUGACAAAACCAACCUAGCCGAAGCUUCCUCAACUUCAUCAACAUCGGCUUGUUUAGCUCCAAAAUCCGCAGGUAACGUGAAAACCAUGUUAACCGACGCAGUCACGACACUCUUCCCUUUAGCCAAUCUUUUUGCUUCAUCGGCUUUGACUUCAUCGGCUAUAGCAGCUUGGUUCUUAACACGCCACUCUUGCCUCGGCCGAUGAUUAAUCUCCUGCUCCACCUCAUCAAAACGUUCUCUGUUCCAUAACCUUUGAACCCUUCUCUUCUGAUUUUUCGUGAAAAUACCAGAAGGACACCAUUGAGUCUUUCUAUCCUCAUCAUCUCUUUGAUCACACUCUUGGUUUACUUGGCCCAAUCUUUGAUGAACAGGAACUCUUGUUUGCCUCAGCUGAUUACUUCUGUUGUAAGAUCUGCUUGAACUUUCUGCAACAUUACUGCAUCCAGGACGAUCUUCGAUACAUGGCAGCCUCAUUCCUUCAUUCCAGCAAAAUCUGAAAAACUCACAUUCCCAAUGAGGAUCAAAACCACCAUCAUCUUCUUCAUAAUACCUUUCCUGCUGUUGCUUGUCAUAUUUUCUUCGGUACUUGCUGAUAAUUCUAGCCGAAUUCAUCUGAAAAUUCCUAUUCUUCCCUCCAUCGUCUGCCCUUCCAGACGUAUGCACCAUAUUGACAGGGAAAGGGUUACCAUCGACCUUCAUCGGCUUCUUGGAGUCGUCAAACUUUAUUUCUCCUCCUUCAAUAGCCGCCUGAAUCCGCUGUCUAAAAACUUUGCAAUCAUUAGUACAAUGAGAACCAGAAUUAUGCCACUUGCAAUACCUCCUCUUUCCUAGCUCUUCAGCCGAUGGUAUGAUAUGACCAGCAGGAAGUUGAAUCUGCUUCUCCCGAAGUAACAAAUCGAAAAUCUUGUCAGCUUUGGUGAUAUCAAAAUCAAAUCUUUCUUCUUUUCCAGAACUCCUCACCCAUGGGCAUGGCACAACCUUUUUGCUCCUAACCCACUCGGCUGCUACUACCUCGGAAUCAUCUUCAUCAUCAGAAUCAUAUAUAUAAGGAUACACAUGAUUGAUCUUCUUGAAGCUCUUCUUAGCCUCUGCAAACCUCUGUUCAUGCAGAGUUACCUUCUGUGCAAGAUGCGAUAAACUAUCAAACUCCUGGGUGAGAAUUUCUCCUUGAUUGGAGCUAUUAGACCUGAAAAACCAAAUCGGCUAACUGGGAAUCAGUCAAACUCAAACUGUAGCACCUAUUCCUCAUCUCUCUGAAUCUCUGAAUAUAAUCCUGCACAGAUUCAUCAUGCCUUUGUCUAAUUGCUGUUAAAUCAUACAAUUUCAUCUCGUGGACUCCACUAUAGAAAUAGCUAUGAAAUUGUUUCUCCAAAUUGGCCCAACUGUUGAUUGAAUUGUAUGGUAAAGAAGAAAACCAAGUAAAUGCCGAUCCGGAUAAAGACAAAGGAAACAACCUGACCCUCAAGGCGUCAACAGCCGAUGCCUCACCACAUUGAGCUAAGAAUCGGCUGACAUGUUCAUAGGUCGAGACAUUGUCUUGUCCUGAGAAUUUUGAAAAAUCUGGAACUUUGUAUCGGUUAGGCAAUUGAACCCUCUCGAACUACUCAGGAUAUGGAUGCCGAUAUAAGUUUCCAGUAUCCUUUGGCUUAAGCCCAAAUUGCUCUAUCAUCACAUCUGCAAUCAUAUCAGCCCAUGGUCUCUGCUGAGGUACCCCUUGCGCUUGUUGUGGUAUAGGCUCGAAUUUAUUGAACUGAGGAGCAAACUGAGGCUGAGGUGAUCCCUUUGCUGAUACUGAACAUGAGGCGAUGGAGGCUGAUAUUGGUAAUUCAAAUUCCCCCCUUGAUAAUUCUGAAAGUUCGGUUGUAUGUUGCGCACCAAAUGUUCGGGAAUAACUUGAGGUAUCACCGAUUCAUUCUCCCCUUCGCUUGCUUGUGACACUUUCGACAUCAAUAUAAGGUAUAUUAGUUAAUUAAAUGGAUAUACACAUGCAUUUAUAAAAAUUAAGUAGCUGUAUGUCGUCCAAAAUUAUAGGUGCUAUAAUCAAAUUACCUAGUAGUUGUGCACUUAUAGACACCAAAUGGCGAUCAAAUUGGUGUCGGGUCUCUGCCGAUGGUCGAGGGCAUGCAUAUCCAUAAAACUAACUUGUAGCAGACAUGGCCCACUCAUGAAAACCUCUACCAACACGGCAACUAUCACAGAUGAAAGACCUUUUAUUAUACUUGCUUUUAUGUACCAUUCAUGCCACCUUUUUAAUUGGCAAGGUCCUUCUGCUAAUUCCCAGGUGGGGAGGAAUGCUUUGCCAUUCUCAAAUUGUUCAGGCACAUCAACAGUGGGCAUAAAAUUCAAAGUUUUAUUCAAGCUUAUUUUUGGGCCUUUUGCUUUCUUUUUGUCAUAAUCAGUCAUUGCUUUCCCCUGUUAUUACUAAUCCUUCGUGGGAAUGCCUUUAUCAUAAACUCUUUCUUGGACGCACUUUCUUCAUUGUGCUUGUGUGCUCUUAUCAUUACUGGCACUCCGUCACCCUUAGCUUCUUCCUGUGAUAUUACUUGUUCCGAUUGUACCAUGCUAGGCGCCACAGGCUCUUGUAUGACCUCUGCAUCCCUUUCAAGCUCUGUUGUUCAGGCAUUGGUUAUUCAGGCUCUAGUUGUGUUAACAGUGAAAUUUGGUAAGCCCGUAAGAGAAUUAUCACGUCGCCAACAGUCGGAUUUCUGCUGUAUUCGGUCGAGGAAAUUAAUCUGUUAAAGGAAGCUUAUGCAGGAGUGACCGAGUUCAAGGAGGAUGCGACAUGACAGUUUAUCCAUUAAUUAGGCAGUAUUUGUUAGUUUCCUUUUAUCUUUAGAAAAGUGUGUUUAGUGUCAUAUAAGGACUUUAUGUUUUCCUUUUAUCUUUUAGGAAAGUUUCUUUCUUGUCCUACAAGGACUAGUAUCUCCCCAUGGAUAUAAACAUGUACACCCGGGGUCCAUGUAAAAUAUCUCACGAUCAAUACAAUUUGGCGUAUUGCCACACCUUUCUACUUUUCUACUUUAUUUACCAUCAGGUGGAACUUGGCACCCGACGCGGGGCUGCAUCGGUUUUCGAUCUCUGGCGAAGGGGUAAGUUCAAUGUUUCGCUGGCCCAGGCAAUUGUCUCGUCUACAUCGGCGUCGUUCAAGGCUGCAUCAAUUUAGCUUUAUCGGUUGUUAAUUACAUCAAGUAUCAGAAUCUACAUCAGAAUUAUAGCCGAUAGCUCAAAACCCUAUCUAUCGGCUCGUAUCGACAUCGACUGAAAUUAAUCUAUCAGCUGUUUUAUCUGCUGUUUGUAUAUCUUGUGAGUUGCAGGGUCAAACUGACUGGCACACCCGUAUCUCAUCAACCUUUGGACCUGCACUGGAGCUAAGCAGAUCUCUCAGUCCAGUGUGUGUUUUCCGCGUCAACACAUUUAUGGCACGCCAGUUGGGACACGAGUUUUUGCAUGGAGUAUUGUUGAUGGUCAUUAACGAUCAGUUUCGACCAUCAAUAUUACCAAAAUAGAGGAGAACUAGUGAUGCUUGCAAUGAAUAUACAUGUUAGAAUAAUAAUAUUCCACUAGUAUUAGGUAUACUAACCUUUUGCAGAGAAUAACCAUAAAGUGGAGGAGAAUCGACAUCAACACAGAUGAUAAAUAAAUCGGACGAUGUCGAGAAUCAGACUUAUGCAUGAAUGGGCCAAGAACUCAGAAUUGACAUGAUGAAUUGGGCCAAAAUUCACAAGUCUACGAAGUGAAGCAACGGAGGAGGCCACCAGCCAAAACUUGGGCUGGUUGGCCCGGCCCCUGGUUCGGGGUUCGGCCGAACCUCCCUCGCCGCCAUUAGCUGCAGGGCUUCUUCUGGACGGUUGGGAUUGAUCCCCAAUGACGGUUGGAGGGUAUUACCGACCAUUCCAACUGUCACAACCAUCAUUACCUGCCUAUAAAAGGAGUUCCUCACUUCACUUCACAAACACACCUCAAUCAAGAGCUCUCUUAUAUUAUCUCAAGUUAGUUUAGUGUUAUCUAGCUAGUGGAAUAAUAGGAAUAGAGUAGAAAUCGGGAGUCUGGAAGCCUUCGGAAGAGUUUGGGUAUGGCUCUAGUAGCUUUCCUUUCCUCUUUUGUUAGCUUUGUACUUUUAUUAGAAUACUCUUCUUUAUACAUUUAUGGUAUUGAAAUACUUUCCGAGUAUAUGAAUGCCUACUUUACAUUAUGUUCAUGUUAUACUGAAUAUGCUACUAGCUUAUCUGGGAGACGCUUUGGUGGGGGUAUAAUGUUUGCUUAUGCAAUUACUCUAUGUCAUGACGAUAAUAUUAGAGUAGUAUCUGGUAGUUUAGACGUGGUGUCUAAUUAUGGGAUAUCGUUAUUUGGGGUUAUAUGCUGCGGAUGAGAGGUGGGCCACUAAUGGUGACAGCUCAGUACGGGUAUUUGUUGACGGUCGUUAUCGAUCAGUCUCGACCAUCAAUAUUACCAAAAUAGAGCAGAACUAGCGAUGCUUGCAAUGCAUAUAUGUAACAUACUGAAAAUUUGCUAUUUUCUAAUUAUGCAUCAUGCCGAUUCUUAUGUUCUUAAUAACUUCCUAAACCUAAGAAAUUAUAAUUAGAGGGACCUCCUAAAACUAACAUGUAUAAAAUCCCUUUUUGGUAUUUAAAAUCUUUCGUGGUUUUUAUUCUAAAAAUUGAUCUUGUUAGAUCGAGGUAUUCUCUUUGAUUUGAUUUUGCAUCUUAAACCUUCUUUCGACCAAAAUUUCUUUUAUUCAAAUUUAGUUUGAAAACCCUUUCUAUUUUUAAGAAUUAUGGUCCAAGAAAUUCUUCCAAACCUAAACCAAAGCAAUUCCAAUUUCAUUGGAAUUAAUUGUCGACCCAUCCUUUGAUUUCAAACCUAUUCUUAUUUAUCGCCAAAUAUCCAAGUUUCCCAUUAGCCUCAAAUACUUCUCCAAAUUCUUGCCAAAUAAUUUGAGGCUAACAUCCUAUUUAUUUCCCUUCCCUCUCAAUCGAGUGCAUCAAAUAAAUUCCGUUAUAUUCUAUCUCUCAAAAGAUUGCACUCAAAUAAAUUAGAACAUCCUUAUUUUAAAAUCCCUCUCCGAAUUCAAAUCCUUUUUAAAAUCUAGCCAUCCAAAUUCCUCUAAAUCAAUUAUUUGAAUCUCUAGGAAAAUUAGACUUUCUUUGUUUCUAGACUGGGCCGAAACCCUUUGUCACGUCCCAAAACGACUCUAAAAUACAUCCUCGAAAUUAUGCAAAGAAUAAUUAAAAUCCAUGUGAAAGCCUCCAACAAUUAAAAUGUGCAAAUUUAAAAGUCAAAUAAGGCUUGGAGGAUUUUUGUAUAUUUCCUAAAAGCCUAAAAUGCGUAAAUAAAUUUUAGUGGAAUUUUCAGAGCACAAAUAAUAAUUAAGAAGAAAUAAACAAAGUUAAAGUGGUUUUAUAAAAAGAAAAAAACCCUAAAAGUCCUUUCCCCCCCCCCUUCCCCUCUUGGGCCGGCUCGGCCCAGCCCUCUCCCUCUCUCUCCUCUCCCCCGCGGCCCAUCGGCCUCCUCCCCGCGCGCGCGCCGCUGACGGGCGGGCCCGCCCGCCACCCUCGCUGACGGGUGGGGCCCACCCGUCAUCCCCUACCUCACGCCGCACCCGCCGCCUCGCCCGUGCCCUAGCGCCGCCGCCGCCGCGGAUUCCGCCGCAUCCCGCCGUCCCCGCGCGCAAUAAAGAGGGGGAAAUCACUCCCCGUGAUUCCCUCCCUCUUUCCGCCCACUUUUCUCUCUCUCUCUCCCUCGGAUUCGUUUGGAAACCCUCCCGCAAACCUCGCCGGCGCCAUUGAUGGAGCCCGAGAUCGCCGCACCGGUUUCCUUCCCCUCCGGCCGCCCUCUCUCACUCCCAACCCUAUUUAAACGUUCCCCGUGCCUCCCUCCACCGUUUCCGCCACUCGCCGCUCUCUCUCCCCGUCGGAAUCGAGCUCGCGCCGUCGUUCCCUCUCUCCGCCAUCGCCGCCGAGCUCCGGUCCGCCGCCGUCGUCGCCUCGGACCUCCUCCCGCUUCGGCGUCGCCUCCUUCGGCUUCGCCGCGUCCUCGUCGACCUCGUCCACUCCUCCGUUUCGCCCGCCGACCGCCGGAACGCCGCCGUCCUCGUCGACCCGAGCCGCGCCGCCGCCUCUCUCCGCUUCGGUCGCCGUUCCCGUCGUCGCCGUCGACCCGGGGUGAGCCAUGGACCGCCCAUUUCGUUUCCCCCUUCCGUCCGCUCUCUCGGGCGCCGCUCCGCCGCGCCGGUGGCCGCCGCCGGCGACCAUCGGGGUGCGGGCGCGCCGCCUCCCCGUCGGCCGUGCCGGCGAGGCCGCCUUCGGGCGCGCCCCGCGGCUGCCAUGUGGGGCCCGGCCGUCAGCCGCCCGCGCCCUCGGGUGCGGCUGACGCGUGGGACCCACGGCGCCGGCCGGCGUAAGCCGCGUGCACCCGGUCCACCGUGGACCGUGAGGCUGCCGCGUGGGCCCCACUCCCGUGGACCCGGUCCACGCGUCCCUCCCCUCGGCUGACGCAAUAAACCCGAUUUUAAAUUAAAAAUUUAAAUGAAGAAAUUCGUAAAUAUCCAUUUAAAGAGCAUAUAAACUUCAAAUGGCCAUAACUUGGCCAUUUGAACUCGGAAUUGGACCGUUCAAGUCUCUAAUUUUUCCUUAAGAAGUCAAGAACCCAUUUUUGUGCUUUGUUUCUGCUUGUUAUAUGGAGUUUAGUAGAGUAAAACCUAUUCGAAUAGCCGCGCCCUCGGUUAUGGGCAAGCCGAGCAAUGUACCCAAGUUAGUGUUUUAAUUCGUAAAACCUGCUUAACAACUGAAAUGUGGAAUGGUUGGCCUGGGUUGGCUUGGGACGAGCUGGGACCCAGGGUCGGGUUGCCAGUUCGGUCUGAAUCAUCGUAGGCCUUGGGUUAAGGCAGGUUCGUGUGGGUUCACGGCCUUGAUAAAUAAUAUUGUUUAGUUUUAGAAUCGCGUUUACAAAAUGGCUUUGAGCAACUAAAUGUCUUUAAAUGCUGUUUACUGCAACCUUAACCCUUUAUAGUGUAACUCCUUUGUACUCCCUUGCAUUUAUUCUGCACUUGUGGGUGUGUCUUGUUGAGUACGGUGGUUGUACUCAGUCUUGCUCAAUUUUUCCCAAACCCAGAAGAGGAGUUCCUGGAGGAUGAAGGCUUUGGUGUCUAGCUCGUACCUGCCGUCAAGUGCCUGUGGUCGUCGCCCUAGUCUUCCGCUGUUUCUCGUUUGUCUCUGUGUGUGCUGGGCCUUCGCUGCCCAUGUAAUAAAUUAACUAUUUACGCUUCCGCUUGUUAAACUCUGAAUUGUAUCAACUUUUGGUGUACCUUGCCUCCUGGGACAAGGAUUAAUGCACGCACGUAAGGAACGCCCGUUGGGUUAUUUCCGGUCGUGACACCCUUUCCCUCCUCCAGCCCAAGCCGGCCCAGCCACCACAGCCGAGCCGCCCUUCCUCCUUCUGUAGACGCGCACACGCACACGCCGUCGCCGCUUCCUUGCCGUCGCCGCCAAGUCGCGCCGCCACCGUCACCGUGCCUUACCCUCCAACUCCGCCGUUUUUCCUUCGCCGCUAAGCAACUGCCGCCGACGUCAGCCGCCACAUCACGCCGCUGACAUCAGCCGCCGAGCCGAACCGCCUUCGAUGGCCAAUUAGCAGAUAGAGUCGACGCCGUGCUCCUGUUUCUGUGCCGCCGCCGCCGUGAUUUGCUCGCCCUCCUCCUCUGCAAACCGCCAUGAACCACCGCCCCUCGUCGCCUAUAAAUAGCCGGCGAGCUCAUCCCAUCUCUUCCGCAUCCGAGCUCGAGGUCCCCUCUUUCUCUCUCCACCAUGGCCGGCUAAUACCAAGUCCCCGGUCGAUCUCUUCCAUUGGAGCCCCAUCGGCCGAAUCCUUGCGCCAUGAGCUUCGCCUCGACGAGGUGAUUCCAUUUCUCCCCUUUCCCCUCUCCUUUAGCCACCGCCACAACUCAUCACCACCACCACACAAACCGGCCGGGACCAAGGUUUUGUCCACGCCGUUCUGGCCAUCUCCCUCUUUCCCUCGGCUAGCUACCACCUUCCCCGGGUGCGCGUCGCUCGGGAACACGCUUGGCCACCGCCGUCGAGACCGUUCCAUCACUGGAGCACCGGCGCCCCUUCUCUCUCUCUCUCUCUCUCUGCUGUUCACGGGAAGAAGAGAAGGAAGAAGCAGACGAGAGGAAGAAGAAGGAGAAAAGAAAAAGAAAAAGAUAAAGAGGUACUGACAGUAGAGUUUAUUAUAUUUUGGAGGCAACCUGUGGUGUUUCGAGGAUCAGAUAAUCAGGUUGCCUAUCUCAGAGUUAUUUGCGUUGGAGCAAGGCAAGUUAUUAUUCCUCCCCUUGAACAUAAUUACCCUAUAUUCUAUAUCUCUAUUCUAUGCAUUAGUCAUUCAUGAUUUUGAAUGCAUAACCUGAACAUAUAGCAAACCAGAUAUAUGCUAGAUUUGCUUAGCCCUGCCUAGUUAGUCUGCAUAAAAAUAUAAUGAACUUAGAUUGGGACAGUACGUAGGAAUUGGUUGAUUUCCGGGUGGCUAGUACUGUCUCAGUCGAUAUAGUUAUUACCAAGUACUUAUGUCAAACGAACGAGUACGACCGCAAUUCUAGAAUGGGGACAGACCUUGCAAAGUAGGUUGUCUAGCAAAGGUGGUACCUCUGUACAGUGGUUCUUAUUUAAGUCCUCGAGCAGGAGGCAAACAUAUGCCGCGAAGGGCAAAUAUAACAUUUACCGAGGCGCAGGUAAAUGAUUUGUUGAGCUCAAGUGUGUGUGUAUUGUGAAAACCUGGUUGAGAUGACGGGGGUCUCUCAACCAGUUCUCUCUCUAAAAACCUCGGGAACGCCAGAACUCCUCUCACUGCUGAUAACGUUACGUUCAGAGCGCAUGAGGAUGAGAGUUCAUGGAACAGGUGCCACUGAUGUUAGUAACCGAAAAGCUUUGCCAUGACUAAGCUAAUGAAUAUUGGCAUGUCAUGGAUUGCGGGUAAAGCGUACAUUUACUGCAGUAAAGUAAACCUGAAUCUAUUCGAAUAGCCGUGCUCACGGAAUUGAGUAUCGGGACUCAUAUGGUACUUUGGUUAGAAACCUAAUUCAAGAUUUUACUAAAUGCUGCUGCAUUUAAAACAUCAGGCUUUCUAUUUCUAUACUCUCUGCCUUCUGCAAGUAAUCGUAAUCCUACUCAAAUAUUACCUUUUUAUACAUUCAUUAUUGAAUAUAAUAGCUUGCUGAGUACGUUGUACUCACCCUUGCUUCAACCUCCUUUUUCCAGAGUUAAAUUGAAGUUCUUGCCAAAGCCAGGAGUUCAAUCAUAUAAGUUAGUCUUAUUUCAACCUAGUUCACAAAUCUAGAUUAGUUAGAUGGUUUAAGUCUAUAGCAAAAUAUUAGAGUUGAGACACUCUAUAGCUUCUGCUGUAAUAGUUAGCCACAAUCUUGUAAAUUCCCCUAUUAAUUUAUGUAAUAACAUCUCCUUUGGAGCCUUGUUCAAAUGUACGCAAUGAAAAUCCAGAUUGUUGAAGCUGUAUCAAUCUACUGAUCCAGGGCUUGAUACAGUUAAACAUGUCGGUUUCCGAAUCAUUAGUUUUGGGAUCCGACAAUAUAUUUGUUACAAUAAUAAUAUUCCACUAGUAUUAGGUAUACUAACCUUUUGCAGCGAAUGACAAUAAAGUGGAGGAGAAUCGACAUCAACUCGGACGAUAAAUCAAUUGGACGGUGUCGAGAACCAGACUUAUGUAUGAAUGGGCCAAGAACUCAGAAAUAACACGACACAUUGGGCCAAAAUUCACAAGUCUAUGAAGGAGGACAACAAAGGAGGCCGCCAGUCGAAGAUGGGUUGGGUUGGGCCAGCCCAUGGUUCGGCCGAACCUCCCAUGGCGCCGAUGGAUGCACGGUUUGGAUGGACGGUUGGAUUUGAUCCCCAAUGACGGUUGGAGGGUAUUACCGACCAUUCCAACCAUCACAACCGUCAUUACCUGCCUAUAAAAGGAGCUCAUCUUCUCACUUCACUCACACACCUCGAGCAAUAGCUAUCUCAUUUCUCUCAAGUUUAGUUUUAGCUGGUGGAAUAGGAAUAGAGUAGAAAUCAGGAGUCCGGAAGCCUUCAGAAGAGUUCGGGUAUGGCUCUAGUAACUUUUCUCUUCUCUUUUGUAAGCUUUGUACUUUUACUAGAAUACUCAUCUAAAUACAUUUAUGGUAUUGAAGUACUUUCCGAGUAUAUGAGUACCUACUUUACAUUAUGUUCAUGUUAUACUGAAUAUACGGCUAGCUUAUCUGGGAGAUGCUUUGGUGCUGGUAUAGUGUUUGCUUAUGCAAUUACUCUAUGUCAUGACGAUGAUAUUAGAGUAGUAUCUAGUAGUUUAGACGUGGUGUCUAGAUUACGGGAUAUCAUUAUUUGGGGUUCUAUAUUACGGAUGAGAGGUGGGCCGCUGAUGGUGACAGCUCAGUACGGGUAUUCCUCCGUGUCAGUACAUAAUCCUAAGUUAAUUCCCUGGGGAGGGUAUUCCUCCGUAUUUAGCCCUGGUUGUAUGGUCAUGACGGGCUGUCGUAAGGAACUCGGCAGUCAGGGGUGGCUUCUCGAAGUACAAGGAGGGCAUCGGAUAUAGGGUAUUAGCUAGUAUAUCGGUUAACUAGAAUGUAUGUAUACUAUGUAUAUCAGAAGUAUUGGAAUAGAUUUUCUUUCUCUUUUCUUUCCACUUAGCUUAAAUGAUAUAUUAUGAGAAUGAGUAGUUAAUGCUUGUGUAUCACUCUACCCAUGGAUUAUCUUAACCCCAGCUUACAAUAUGAUUAUCACAAGUAAUAUAUAAAUUAUUAGUCAAGUUCUCUGUACAUGGUCUUCCCACGGGAUAAAACAAAUACAAUACCCUUGGAAUACUCUCGGGUAAAAUGCUACAAUGGUAUACCCGUGCGCUAGCGGAUGAAUUCUGUAACCAUAAUAUACCAGAAGUAUUUCUGUGCUAUUGCUGGGAAUUAUUUUAUAUUUGCCUCUGUAUAAUCAUUUUCCUUUGCAGGCUAACCUUGGUUGUUUUCACUUAUGUUGUGAAAACAGGGUAGUGCAUGACUGGUUUCAACUUGCCGAAAAACUUCAAAUAAAAUCCAGAAGCUUUCUUCCAGAGCGUCAGGCCGCGAGUCGCUGCUUCGUAGAAAACUCGAUGGACAAAGAAACCAGCCGUACCAGCGCCACCGACCUUCAAGACUAUGCCUAACAAGACUCUCUGCGAGUUCGCUGCUCCCUCUACUGACAAUGUGGCCAUUGGGCCGCAGGUCAACAUAGGAGAUGUGGAUUUCGACUUGAAGUCCAGCCUCAUCACGAUGGCGCAAGCUAGCCCGUUCUGUGGCAAGCCUAAUGAGGAUGCCAAUGCUCAUCUGCAACAGUUCCUGGAGAUCUGUAGCACGUACACCAUCAAGGGCGUCAGUCCCGACGCCGUCAGGCUGCGACUGUUUCCGUUCUCCCUUCUCGGGAGAGCGAAGCAGUGGUUCUAUGCCAACCGUGUAGCUAUCAAUACCUGGGACAAAUGCUCUACGACAUUCCUCUCGAAAUUCUUCCCGAUGGGCAAAACCAAAGCCCUUCGUGGAAGGAUUUCAAGUUUCCAGCAGACAAGGGAUGAGUCUAUUCCGGAAGCAUGGGAACGACUACAUGAGUACGUAGCCGCCUGUCCUCAUCAUGGGAUGGACGACUGGCUGAUCCCGCAGAACUUUUAUAAUGGACUCACCCCGAUGUCCCGUGAUCACAUGGACGCGGCAGCUGGAGGAGCGUUCUUCUCUAAAACGGUUCAAGGAGCCAUUGAUCUAAUAGAGAAGAUGGUCUCCAAUAUGGGUUGGAGCGAGGAACGACUACAGACCCAUUAGCAAGCCAUGCACACCGUCAAGGAGACAGAGUUACUUGCUGCCAAACUGGACCUCCUCAUGAAGCAAUUGGACGACCACGAGAAACGGCCGCAAGGCACCGUCAAGGCCUUGGACUCUCACGCCACAUGUGAGGUCUGCGGCAACACGGGUCAUUUUGGGAAUGACUGCCCAGAAAGCCGUGAGGAGGCGAUGUACAUGGGCAACAACAACAACAGGUAUCGUCCACAAGGAGGUCAGGGGUGGAACAAACCAUGCCCAUAUUAUCAAGGAGGUAACAACAACGGUAAUAACCAGUCCUCCUUGAAGGAUCUCGUUUUUGCGCAAGCUAAGACCACCUAUGCGCUAAGCAAAAAGCUUGCGGCUAAUGACAAGGUCCUAGAAAACAUAUGUCAAGUUAGAUGGCUUUGCUUCUGCUUUUCAAAAUCAGUUGCGCUUUAAUAAAAUGAUAGAAACCUAGCUAGCUCAGUUGGCAUCCUUAGUCCCUGCAAAUCAAACUGGGAGGAUCCCGGGGCAACCUGACUCCUCCAUUGAAAAUAAGGGCCAUCACGACGAGGGGAGGUAAGUCCACUCGUGAUCCGCCAUAUCCUAACCCUGUAGGAACUAAUGGGAUAUCAAAAUAAGUGCCAUCUAAUGACUCGGCUGGCAAGGAAGUUCCGCCAGAAAAGACAGUGCCGCAAGAGUACUGCGACACACGGUUGCUAUCGUUCCCUCAACGGAGUAGGAAACCGUCAGUGGACGAGCAAUUCGCUCGUUUUGUUGAAGUAAUCUAGAAGAUCCACAUCAACGUGCCGUUGUUGGACACUAUGCAAGUGCCAACAUACGCCUGUUAUCUCAAGGACAUACUCAACAACAAGAGACCACUCCCAACAACGGAGGUGGUCAAGCUGACGGAACAAUGCAGCAACGUGAUACUCCAUAAGCUCCCGGAGAAGAAGAAAGAUCCGGGGUGUCCUACGAUCACCUGCUCGAUCGGGGCACAACAGUUCGACCAGGCCUUGUGCGACCUUGGUGCCAGUGUCAGCGUCAUGCCAAAAGACGUCUUCGACAAGCUCUACUUCACGGUGUUGGCACCAACACCAAUGCGCCUUCAACUGGCUGAUUCGUCAGUCCGUUACCUGGCAGGGAUAGCGGAGGAUGUGCCAGUCAAGAUACGAGAUUUCUUCAUCCCGGGGAGCCAGUUUCUUAGCACUGCAGGAGACAACAUUGACGUGGGAACGGGGAGUAUCCAUUUCCACAUCAACGGCAAGGAAGAGAAGUUUGAGUUUCAACUGAGCACGGAAUAAUGCUCCAUGGUUAGAAUAAAGUACGGGCCGAACCCAUAGAAUAUUCAAGAGGUCGAAGUGGAGCCACCUAAAACAGACAGCCUGGUGAAAUUCAUUCAGAAUUUCCUAGAAAAGAAAACAACAAUGCCUACGAACCGUUAUUGGAAGACGCCGGUAGAACCACCCAUACCGGCCAGGAAGCUAGAAGCAGUUGGCUCAAAAGAAGCCGCUGUCCGCACCAAAACCAAAGAAGGUGUGGAGGGAGAAGCCAAAGACGCCCGCUCCGUCACCUCCAGAGACGGGUAGAAAAUCCGCAAACUGAACUGGAUGGAGGUAUAGUCUUGCACGUCGGACUUUAAAUGACGCGACCUUCGCCAACAGGUUGAUUGGUAUGUAUCCGCAUAUUUACUUUCAACAAUUUAAAUUUUUGCAUCAUCACAUGUUUGAAUUUCAAAGUUGCAUUUAGGAUUUUUGAAUUUUUAGGAAAUUCUUCAAAUGAACUUUUCAGAGCAAACCAAAAUAAAAUUUUCAGUGAAAAUUUAUUGUGCCACAACCACACUGACCGUUGGAACCCAACGGCCGAAAGUGGGGUUGGUUGGGCCCACUGUGGGUUCGGCCGAACCAGCGAGGCCAACGGUCGGCUGCCUCCUUCUUUGAGGCAACGGCUAGUGGGCCCCACAGGUCGGUUUUGACCGUGUGGGUGCACUACUUAAGCCAACCGGCCGAGAGAGGGAAUUCCACCCCAUUUCAACACAUUUUCAUUCCCUCUCCAAAGUUUGCUCUCAAGUUCAUUCAAGCUUUGAUAGUUUCCCUCAAAUUCAAACACUAGUUGCAUAUAUACAAGUUGCUUUCGUGAAACUAACUGGCGGGUGAGAUUCUUGUCAUUACUAACCUCUGCCGAGUUAGUCCGUUCCUGCUCCAUUGUGCAGAAUGAGAAGACAACUGUCUCGUCUGUUCAAGGGGUCCGGCUCUUCAUCAAGUCAUCAUGAUGAGUCUAGUACUUGUUCAUCAGCAGAUGUCUCGAUGGAGGACGCCGAAGCUCCGCGAUGACUCCUAAACGACACCGACCUCGACCUUGUCAGUGAUCGGGAGAGACAAGACUACUACAUGCUGAAUGACCGGGAGUAUGCUCACACGCGAGAAUACUCACCGGAGCUGCUAAAAAACAUAGGUAUGGAUGCUGAAUUUCGUACUAUUUGGAAAGCUGUUGGUUGGCAGAGAUUUGCUGUGGUAGAUGAGCCUGGUGCUCGUCUGCUUACUUUACAAUUUCUGUGCACUUUGAAAGAAAUAGAAGAUGUAAUUUCCUUUCGUUAUUUCCGUGAAGAGUUUACACUUACAUGGAAAGGCUUAAGUACACUUCUUGAUUUUCACGAUUCCUGUAAAAUCGAUCUCCAGAAAGGAAUUUCUGGGUUCGAGAAAAUUAGGUUUUGGGAAGAUAUUUAUGGUGCUCCAAUUUGCAAGAAACCUAGAACGAAUGAUAUCCAUAAUCCUACACUUAGGCUCAUGCACAAAUCGAUUGAUAUGGCUUUGUUUCCUAGAGGUGAUCUGAGGCCCAUUAGGGCAGAUGAAUUGAUUAUCAUGUUUGCCAUGGUUAGAAAGAUCCAAAUUACUCCUGUGAAAUGUAUGAUAAGGCAAUGGUUAGAAAGUAUAAAGUUCUCUGUUCCUGUUGAGUGCACUUCUCUGAUUACUCGGAUAGCAAAAGGGCUAGGGGUCGUUAGCGACCAAAUUGCUUUUAUCUCAGCCGCUCAUCCGUGUAUUGAUGAGGCUUAUCUAGUGCAAGGGCACAUUCUGAAAAAUGGAGUAGACGGAUCUUUGAUUUACUUUUUCCCCAGUUGUACAAAUGAAAUCCCGUUGCCAAAUGCGGGGUAUCAUUUGUACAACUGCCAUGAACUAACCAUUCCCCUGUAGACCAUAGAAGAAUCUCGCGCAGGUGGAGCAUACAGGGAGACGCACAACAUGACAAGAAAUGAACGAGAAAGUUCACACCCGUGCAGAUGUAUGAGGCAGGUUGGGAGCCAAUUGGGGAUGCACCCGGAUGGACCCAUGCUCCACGUCACAGUAUUGGAUUCUCAACCUGGGCAAGUGCCAGUGAGGACCGGUGGCGUGCGCCUCAUGACAUCCAAUGGGGGGACAAUCAACCUUCCAGAUCAAGUGGUGUGCUUCCAUCUUCAAGUGAAUGGCGCUCAAGUUCCUCUCGUUGGGACUUGGGUGAAAUCACUAGGAGAAUGGACACACUUGAUAUGCAGAUGGGAGGAGGACAACAAAGGAGGCCGCCAGCCGAAGAUGGGCUGGGUUGGGCCAGUUCAUGGUUUGGCCGGCCAAACCUCCCGUGGCGCCGAUGGAUGCAGGGUUUGGAUGGACGGCUGGAUUUGAUCCCCAAUGACGAUUGGAGGGUAUUACCGACCAUUCCAACCGUCACAACCGUCAUUACCUGCCUAUAAAAGGAGCUCCUCUUCUCACAUCACUCACACACAUCAAGCAAUAGCUCUCUCAUUUCUCUCAAGUUUAGUUUAGUAGUAUCUAGCUGGUGGAAUAGGAAUAUAGUAGAAAUCAGAAGCCCGGAAGCCUUCGGAAGUGUUCGGGUAUGGCUCUAGUAGCUUUUCUCUUCUCUUUUGGUAAGCUUUGUACUUUUACUUGAAUACUCUUCUAAAUACAUUUAGGCCCUCUUUGUUUAGACUUAUAAGCCAACUUAUAAGUCAAAAAGUCUAAGCGAAAACAAACAAGCAGCUUUUUCAUUUGGCUUUUUUGAAGCUAUAAGCCACUCUAACACUAUCAAGCCAAAAGCUAGGUUGGAGAAGCUUUUUUGGCUUAUAUGAGAUAGAUGUAUGACUCCACCACUAAACUUAGGACAUUAAAUCCACUGGCUUAUAAAUCAUAUAAGCCAAUAAGCUGACUUAAAAGUCUGGGCCAAUAAGCCUAAGCCUAAACAAAGAGGGCCUUAUGGUAUUGAAAGACUUUCCGAGUAUAUGAGUACCUACUUUACAUUAUGUUCAUGUUAUACUGAAUAUACGGCUAUCUUAUCUGGGAGAUGCUUUGCUGCGGGUAUAGUGUUUGCUUAUGCAAUUACUCUAUGCCAUAACGAUGAUAUUAGAGUAGUAUCUGGUAGUUUAGACAUGGUGUCUAGAUUACGGGAUAUGAUAUUUGGGGUUAUAUAUUGCGGAUGAGAGGUGGGCCGCUGAUGGUGACAGCUCAGUACGUGUGUUCCUCCGUGCCGGUAUAUAAUCGUAAGUUGAUUCCCUGGGGAGGGUAUUCUUCCGUAUUUUGCCCUGGUUAUACGGUCAUAACGGGCUGUCGUAAGGAACUCGGUAGUCAGGGGUGGCUUCUCGAAGUACCAGGAGGGCAUCGAGAUAGAGGGUAUUAGCUAGUAUAUCAGUUAACUAGAAUGUAUGUAUACUAUGUAUAUCAGAAAUAUAUGAAUAGAUUUUCUUUCUCUUUUCUUUCCACUUAGCUUAGAUGAUAUAUUAUGAGAAUGAGUAGUUAAUGCUUGUGUGUCACUCUACCCUUGGAUUAUCUUAACCCUUGCUUAGAAUAUGAUUAUCACAAGUAAUAUAUAAAUUAUUAGUCAAGUUCUCUCUACAUGAUCUUCCCACGGGAUAAAAUAAAUACGAUACCCUUGGAAUACUCUCGGGUGAAAUGCUACAAUGGUAUAUCCGUGCACUUGCGGAUAAACUCUGUAACCAUAAUAUACCAGGAGUAUUUCUGCGCCAUUGCUGGGAAUUAUAUUUCUAGUAAUGAUGUUAAGAAAUACCAACAGUAUUCUCUACAGUCCAACCAUCGGGGCCAAUCUCAUCUGCGAGUAUUUUGCAUUCGCUUAUUUAAGCGAUAUGGCAGUGACCCUAACGAACAAAUUUUUCGAAAAUCCGAACAGAAAUAUCAUCGAAGGAUUUGGGAUUGUGCAAGAUGUGCAUGUCUGCUUUGAAGACAGGGAGGCGAUCUUGGAUUUCCACGUCUUUGAAAUUCAAGAUUUCGAGAUCCUAAUCGGGCUUCCCAUUGAGCAACUUCUCAUUAACACACCCCGAUUAGACAGUCUCAAAAUAAGACUGGGAGGGAAUGAAUUCUCCGUUCCAUUCUCACGGGCAAGGAUCUCCUUGACUGACCCUCUCCCAGAAAUUGAGUCAGCGGAGGAGGUUAUGGUAGUUCCCCUCACGAGUCUCCCGAGGCCUUUCUGGAAGAUGAAGUCCCCGAUUUCAUCAAGGAAGAGGCGGAACCCGGUGAGACUCUCGAUCUACCAAUCAUGGAACCGCCACCUCGACCUCUGCUUGAGCUUAAACCUCUAUCUCAGGGCCUACGCUAUGCUUUCCAACACAAUGAUAGAGAAGCCUCUGUCAUAAUGUCACGCCCAGAAAUUCCUGAAUAGAAUUCCAAGCAGAAUGUGCAUUAAAAUCCCCGUCCAGGACCGGCCGGGGUACACAAACGACAAAGUUGACAUACAGAUCCACGUCUUACAAACAUUAUAAAAGUCUUACAUAAAUGCAGCAGAAAACUUAAAAGAUAACUGGAGCUAAGCCUUGACUUGGACUGCAGCGGGAACACCACUCCACAGGCAUCCUCGACGGCACGGACGAAGCCUACUCCUCGGAAAAGACACCAUCUGACGCAUACUCAAACUCUGGGGGUUUGGGGAAAAUAGAGCAAGACUGAGUACUACCCACUGUACUCAGCAAGUCAUACCGGAAUAGGGGUAUAAUGCAGGGAAUUAUCAAGGGAUAGCUAUGAUGGUUCAUUUGCAUAAAGCGAGCAUUUAUAAACCGAAGUUGGAAGCAGUAAAACAGUCGUAAUAAUUAAUCAAUAUUAAUCAUCCACUAUCCAACGCUAUACCACGUUGCAACAGGCCCAACCAUCCACCUGAACUAAUCAGUUCCAUCAGACUACACUAGGGUGAGACUAAUCACGGUGAAUCUGGUUGACCGCCCAUAACCGUGGGCACGGCUAUUCGAAUAGUUUUACUCUGAUAAGAGGUGUACAACUGUACCCACAAGACACAGCCCCACGACACGUUUCCGUGCGCCGACAUGCCACCACGACAUACCGGAAAGAGGCCGUGACAGGACCCUUCGCAUAACCCCCUCUAACCAAGCACACCACACCUCAGGUUUCACCCCCUCUCCUCGCAAGGCAGUGGGCAGUCCCCUCUCGUGCCUAGGUGAAUCCGGAAGCCGCAUAGGCCGUCGCAGGGCCCAUCCAAACUCCAUCACGCCCACCCUUGCCUGGAUGCGUCGGCUAGAGGAAAGCUACACUACAAGCCCAGCCGUUGCCCACGCUAGCUUGUGGUAAGUACGAUAAGUUCUUCCAGGGCAUCCCGCGAACCGGUCCUUAAUUGCCAUGGGCGCGACCAUCAAAACCAUGCACCCACAGCCCACCAUUUAAUAUAUUUUAAUUAACCAACACCGGAGCGGUGGGCAUUAACCAACAUCAUUUCUACAAUCUGAUAUCUAUGCAUUAAUGUUGUCCCCCAUUGUGUGCUAGUUGAACUAAGCAAGGCUAAGCAAUCCCUAGUCCAACCUCUAGUCAUGUUAUAUCCCAAGCUAAGAAAGGAACAUCGUACCAAAAUAGCAUGGCUAUAACAGUAGGUAAACAUUCCAUGGUAAUAUUAUAAAACAAUGCAGUAUUUGAACGGAAACAAAAGAGCAUUUGCAAUAUAGGAUCAACAUGUUCAAGUGACAAGCAUGACUUGCCUUGCACUGCUGCUGGAGGAACCUCGGUGACUAUUUCAAAGUACAACGGAGCGUCAGGAGAGCCGGAAUCUAAGCGACAUACAAAGCAAACAAUACAAACAGGCUAUAAGACUACUGAAACAGAGAACAAAACUAUUUUUAAUGGAUUCUACACAUUUUUCUUGAUUUACUGAGACUUGAAUAGGCUUAAAUGGAGCUCGGAUGAAUUAGAUAUGAAUUUUAGAAGAUUCACUGUGUUUUUACUAUAAACAGAAAAAUCCUUAAUUGAAUUAUUGCGCAAUAAAUAAAUCCCGGGAGAGAGAGGGGCGGCGCCGACAUGCGGGCCCCACAUGGCAACGACUCGGGGAGGGCGGUUCACGGUGGACCGAGUCCACGGACCGGGGAAGGGGCGGCGCGCCACGUGGUGCACACGUGGCGCCGACGCGGCGCACAUUCGGCAACCACGCGGGUGGCCAAACCGACGGCCCCAAUCUACCCGAGGGUAGAUCGGACGGCGGCGGGGAGCACGCGGCCGGCGCGCACGGGCGGCUCGAGCCGGCCCGGCGACCAUGGCGCACGGCGGCGCUACCGCGGGACGGCGACGCGGCAGACGGCGGCGUCCGACGACAAGCGGCGGCGGUGCGACGGCGCGGCGACACUGGCUGUGGCUAAGCGGCUAGGCAGCGACGCGACGACUAGACGGCGCGGGAGAUAGGGAGAGAGAAAGAGGAGGAGGUGCCUCACUGACGACAAGCGACGAUGGCGAGCGACGGAGGACGAUGGUGUCACACCCUAAAAAUCCCAAAUAUAUAAAUUGUUGUUUAAUUGGAAUUAUUAGAAUUGAUUUUAAAAGCCUAGAGGAGAAGAUCUAAUUUUAAAUAAUAAAUUCCAAUAUAAAAUUGGGCCAGAUAAAAUUUUAUUAAAUACUUUGCUUGAUUCUAUAGUUCCUAGAUUUUUCUGGGAUUUAUUUGAGCCAAGGAAGUAUUUUUAAUAAAUGGAAUUGCAUUUCAUGAAUAAUUUAAAUUGGAAAAGUUUUAAAAAGUCUUCUUUUGGCUUUGGGCCGAAAGUCGGCCCAAACCUCUCUCUCUCCUCCCCGGCCCAGGUCGGCCCACAGCCGAGCGCCGCCCGCGCGCGCGCGUCCCGCUCACUGACAGGUGGGGCCCACCUGUCAGUCUUCGUCUACCUCCAGCCAUCGCCGCGCCCGAACCCUAACUGAGCCGCGCCGCCGUCUCCUUCCAAAUUCGUUCAUCCUUUUCCCGAUCCGUUGAAAUUGAUAGAGGGGAAAUGAUCCCCGAGAUCCACUCUACCUUUUCUCUUUUGGAAUCGUUGGCUAAAAUCGUUUGGAAAUCCGUGGAUUCGAUCUCGAAUCAGAUUCGUCUCUCUCUCCGAACCCUAACCUUUCCAUCGCCGCCGCCAGUCGCCGUGGGCCUUCGCCGCCGCCCCCCUAGCCUCUAUAAAAGGACCCCCGGUGUCUCCUCUACCCACCGCCACCCUCACUUUCGUAUCUCGUCACCGGUAGAGCCCUAGCAUCGUGUAGCCUAGCGCCGCCGUCGCCGCCAUUCGUCCAGCCGUGCGCCGCCGUUGCUCCGGUCGUCGUCGUCGUUCGGGAAGGCCGUCGUCGUGAUCGUCAUCUCGUCGCCGUCCUCGUCCGCCCCUCCGUCGUCGCCGUAGAUCGCCGGAGCCCCGCCGUCGUUGUCAAGCCGAAGGUCACCGCCGCUUCUUCCUCAACGCCGUCGCCAUCCGUUGACCUACCGCCGCUGCUUUGGUCACCGGUGAGUUCGCCGUGUCGCCCGCAACCCGUAGGUGUCCUCCGUUCGCGUCGUCGUGCCGUCGUUCGCCGGCGAGCAUGCGCCGUCCGAGCCGUCGCCGGUGACGACGUCACCGCUGACGUCAUCGACGCCGUCCGCCGUAGACCGGUCGUAGACCGUUAGAUCUUGUCCGUCCGUUUUGGAUAGAUCGAUCUCGGCCGUUUGUUUCUGUGAACCGCCGCCGUGCACCCGGUCCACCGUGAGCCGAGUCCGCUGACGCAAUAAUCCCCUUUUCCUUUUCAAAAAUAAUUCAUGAGAUAUGGGUUCAGCUGGAUAUUAGAUAUAAUUACUUAGCCAUGCUUAGAAACAUUAGCACAUAGUUGGGAUAACUUAUGCUUCACUAUUAUUUAAUGAUGGCUUAAUGAUAGCUCAUGAUGGUUAAUCAUGAUUGGUUAAUUAAUUAAUUUGCCAACUAAAACCUGAUAAUGGUGGGUUGUGAGCAUAUGGUUUUGAUGGUUGUGCUCAUGACAAUUAAGGACCGGUUCACGAUUUUCGGUUGUGAAACAUUUACCGUGCCAACCACAAGCCAGCGUAGGCAAUGGCUUUACUUUCUGUAUAGUAUGGUUCAUAGUAGAGCACCAGACUGUGAAGUGGCAGAGAUAAGCCCACGGGGGUCGCUGGGUAGUCCAUACCUUGUUUAUAAGGGGGUGAUUAUGAUCCAGGAACAGUGCACUGCUUUGAAUUGUAUUAUAUAGAGGGUAUUGUCACAAUCUAUAUUCGGGUACUUGUUAAGUAUCGCGACGCAUGGUUGACAUGAUGUUGAGGUUGUGUCUUGUGGGUACAGUGCUACACCUCUGGCCAUAGUUUAAACUAUUCGAAUAGCCGUGCCCGCGGUUAUGGUCGCGUCUAACAAUGUCUUUCGUGAUUAGUUUCACAUUCAUGCUUGUCAGGAGGUGGCAAGGAUCGCCAUGGGGGAGCUCCGCGAAAGCUACAAUGAUCGGUUGGCCGACACCGAGUAUCGCUACCAUCCUCGUCAACCCCAAGGAAGUGACCGUGGCAGCUACCUUGAACCUGCAGGGAUUGAGAAUGAUGCUACCACAAGGCAUUUGGUUGAGAUGCUGUGGGCCAUGGAUGAGACCCGCGGUGAGAUUGUGAUAGCAGCUCAGGAUCGCGAAAACCGGAAUCGCGGCAAGAUUUGCAAGCUGGAGGACAAGGUGGAUCGUUUAGAGAAGGAGCUAGCCGCGUUGAAGGGAGAAGCACCACCGCAAAAGGCCAGGGUUCAUCUUACCGCAAGGAAGAGAGCUCUAUUCGUUCCUCGCUACCAGUUGGCGCCAAAGGUUCGUGUGGUGGAAAAAGAAACUAUCCCAGCCCCAGCGGAUCCUCCGGUCGUCAACGUAAGUGAUGAUGAUGAAGAAGAAUCCAAGCGCACCCAUUCCAAGGUCGAGUGGGGAGCAACUCAAGAUGAUGGAGACGCACCGAACGAGCCUUCAAUCAACUCCGAUGCCCGGAAAACCUAGAAUGCCUUGUCAAGUCGUUAUCUUAGAUCGUUGUGUUAGUUUGCUUGUUUAAGUUUGGUUGUGUGUGUGGGUCUUGCAUGUGGUUUACAUCAGUGGUGGGAUGUAAAUGCAUGCCUUUGUUUGCUUCCGAGUGUUAGGAAGUUGGUGAGUUUAGUGGUGUGAGAGUCUUCAGUUUUGUAAUAAUGAAACUCAGUUAAGAUCAAUAAAAGUUAAGUUAGUAAAAAUUAAUUCCCUGUCCUAAGUAGUUUUUCCCGUUUCUCUUUUUGUGUUCCUAUCUAUGCCAGAUGUUGCUUACUCGCAGCAACGGGAAUGGCCCCAACCCCAACAACAACAACAACAAUGCAGAGAAUCCCACGCUUGCUCAAGUCCUGGCUCAACAGGCACAGCUUAUGAAUUUGAUGAUGCAGCAACUCCAGAACCAGCAGAACCAGGAAAACAACCAUGCACCUCCCCCAAAUAAGCUGGCAGAAUUUCUUCGCGUGAGGCCGCCUACUUUCUCUAGCACCACCAAUCCUGUUGAAGCUGGUGAUUGGCUGCACGCCAUAGAGAAGAAGUUAGACCUGCUUCAGUGCACAGAUCAAGAGAAGGUUUCUUUUGCUUCACACCAGCUGCAUGGCCCUGCCUCUGAGUGGUGGGAUCACUUCCGUCUCAACAGAACUACUGCUGAACCUAUCUCUUGGCUUGAGUUCACCGCUGCUUUCCGGAAGACGCACAUACCAUCGGGAGUGGUGUCUCUCAAGAAGAAGGAGUUCAGGUCGCUCACUCAGGGAUCCCACACUGUCACCGAGUAUCUGCAUGAAUUUAAUCGCCUGGCUCGUUAUGCUCUGGAAGAUGUGCGCACUGAUGAAGAGCGCCAAGAGAAGUUCUUAGAGCACCCGCAAUGGUAAAGUAAGGUGCUCUCUAUAAAACAUGUACAUCUCAGCAAUAGACUAGAUUAAUAGUAAACCACCUCAAUAGUAUGUCUACAACAGUAUCUAUAGCUCUCUCAUGCAUUGCCUCGGUUUUCUCUAUAGACUAUCUCUAAGUUAGUAGAUAGCUUUGCUCUCUCUCUUCAUUUAAUAUCUUCCAAAUAGGAAAAUAUGCUGACAUGGAUCUCUUGUAGAGAGCCUAUAGAUAACCAUUGUGGGUGCCCUAAAGGGCUAUAUGAUGAGCUUUCUUACCCACUCAUGACUGGGGAUUAUCAUGAUUUCCAGAAGUUAGUGGAUAAGGCUAUUCGCCAGGAGGACAAGUACAACCGCAUGGAGCAGAAGAAACGCCGAAUUGCUCACUUCAAGGCUCAGCAGGGGAAUAGUCAGAGGCCGCGUCUUGCUAUGGGACCUCAGUCAGUGUCACAGGGAGGUUCUUCGUCGGUUGUUCGUCCGCAACGUCAGUUCUUCAACAACAGUGCUGGCAACAACAACCGCAACCAAGCUCCGCGCUCUGUUGCAGCUCCGACACAGCAUCAGCCUGCCAAGAGGGAGCAAGGCAGUAAGCCCGAGGUGUGCUUCAACUGUGGAGACCCAAGACAUUACGCUGAUAAGUGUCCGAAGCCCCGCCGCACGAUGGUUGUCCCUGCCCAGAACAACUCCUCCGCACCAGCGACAAAGGCACGUGUCAACCAUGUUGCUGCUGCAGAAGCUCAACGUGCUCCAGAUGUGAUUUUGGGUACGUUCCCUGUUAACUCAGUUCCUGCAACAGUGCUUUUCGAUUCUGGUGCUACGCAUUCCUUUCUAUCUAUGAGUUUUGCUGGAAACCAUGGGAUGGAAGUAGAAGAUCUUAGACGUCCUUUGAUGGUUAGUUGUCACGACCGGAAAUAACCCAACGGGCUUUCCUGACGUGCGUGCAUUAAUCCUUGUCCCAGGAGGCAAGGUACACCAAAAGUUGAUACAAUUCAGAGUUUAACAAGCGGAAGCGUAAAUAGUUAACUUAUUACAUGGGCAGCGAAGGCCCAGCACACACAAAGACAAACGAGAAACAGCGGAAGACUAGGGCGACGACCACAGGCGCUUGACGGCAGGCACGAGCUAGACACCAAAGCCUUCAUCUUCAAGGAGCUCCUCUUCUGGGCUUGGGAAAAAUUUGAGCAAGACUGAGUACAACCACCGUACUCAACAAGACACACCCACAAGUGCAGAAUAAAUGCAAGGGAGUACAAGGGAAUUAUAAUAUGAAGGGUUAGGGUUGCAGUAAACAGCAUUUAAAGACAUUUAGUUGCUCAAAGCCAUUUUGUAAGCACGAUUCUAAAACUAUACAAUAUUAUUAAUCAAGGCCGUGAACCCACACGAACCUGCCUUAACCCAAGGCCUACGAUGAUUCAGACCGAACUGGCAACCCAACCCUGGGUCCCAGCUCGUCCUAAGCCAACCCAGGCCAUCCAUUCCACCUUUUAGUUGUUAAGCAGGUUUUAAGAAUUAAAGCACUAACUUGGGUACAUUGCUCGGCUUGCCCAUAACCGAGGGCGCGGCUAUUCGAAUAGAUUCUACUCUGAUCAGAGGUGUACAUCUUUACCCACAAGACACAUCUUCCUCACGUGCAACCACGUGCCACAUACCACCACGGUAUACAGACGGAAGACGUGACAUAGUUUCCAACCCAUCCUAGCCAUAGACAAGAGUACCGACCCAAUCCCGCCUACGGCCGGAACCCCCGGGACAGGCAG